Molecule: long non-coding RNA, 404 nt
Organism: Argiope bruennichi
Lineage: Eukaryota; Metazoa; Arthropoda; Arachnida; Araneae; Araneidae
Exons: 7
Source: RefSeq, a predicted model, not a curated record
AGAACUCUUUCAUUUUAUUGCCGUCCAUCAAGAUGUUUCAUGUACCGAAGAUUUAUUUUGCGGUUUUUUCAGUUCUUUAUGCUAUUGUUUUAGUUGUGCCAGGCACUUUUGGAAAACCGCUACACUCUUCAGAACGAGAUGCAUCUAUGAUGCUUACACACGUUGGAUACUUAGCUGAUUUUGCUGAUUACCUCUGCAUGCAAAUGUUCGGGAAUCCAUGUCAUUAAUCUGCUCUGUUUCUUCAAUCAAGAUAUUUUAAUGGAUGAUGAAGGUAGUUUUUAAAUUAAGGUUUUCCCAAUAUGAAGAAUAAAUUAUUUUCCAAUUGGUCCUUUUCCAGAUUUUCUGCCUCGUCUUUUUAAUCAUGUACAAAGAAUUUUUAAAAAUAAAAUUUUGUUUUUAUCCAA